RNAcentral lists this ribosomal RNA (702 nucleotides) under Palaemon pacificus. RNAcentral describes it as "SSU rRNA". It matches the Rfam family "Eukaryotic small subunit ribosomal RNA", at positions 599 to 1268 of the family's 1831-position model. Lineage: Eukaryota; Metazoa; Arthropoda; Malacostraca; Decapoda; Palaemonidae. The record is from RNAcentral.
GUAUAUUAAAGUUGUUGCGGUUAAAAAGCUCGUAGUUCGAGCUCAGUUCCGGACUGGCUGGGGAGGUCACCGCCCGGUGCUUCCCCGUCAGGCUCCGAACAGCUUCCGUGAGUGGAAGCCAAGCCGGUUCUGCCGGGGUGCUCUUUACCGAGUGUCCCGCGCGGCCGGCCAGUUCACCUUGAAUAAAUGAGAGUGCUCAAAGCAGGCUACUCUCGAAUACAAUGCCCGAAUGUUACCUGCAUGGAAUGAUGGAAGAUGAUCUCGGUUCCAUUUUCUUGGUGGUGGGAGCCAGAGGUAAUGAUAAAGAGGGACUGUCGGGGGCAUCCGUACUACGACGCGAGAGGUGAAAUUCAGUGACCGUCGUAGGACGAACAACAGCGAAAGCAUUUGCCAAGAAUGUCUUCGUUGAUCAAGAACGAAAGUUAGAGGAUCGAAGGCGAUCAGAUACCGCCCUAGUUCUAACCCUAAACGAUGCUGACUAGCAAUUCGCCGUCGUUAUUCCCAUGACGUGGCGAGACGCCCCCGGGAAACCUCAAGUCUUUGAGUUCCGGGGGUAGUAUGGUUGCAAAACUGAAACUUAAAGGAAUUGACGGAAGGGCACCACCAGGAGUGGAGCCUGCGGCUUAAUUUGACUCAACACGGGAAACCUCACCAGGCCCGGACACCAGAAGGAUUGACAGAUUAAGAGCUCUUUCUCGAUUU